CCCUUAGAUGUUCUGGGCCGCACGCGCGCUACACUGGUUCAGUCAACGAGUUCAUUUCACCUUGAUCGAGAGGUCUGGGUAAUCUUCGAAACUGAAUCGUGAUGGGGAUAGUUCAUUGUAAUUGUUGAUCUUAAACGAGGAAUUCCUAGUAAACGUGAGUCAUCAGCUCACAUUGAUUACGUCCCUGCCCUUUGUACACACCGCCCGUCGCUACUACCGAUUGAAUGGUUUAGUGAGGCCUCGGGACUGGCGCGCUCGAGUAGCAAUACACCUGCGCGCCGGGAACUUGGUCAAACUUGAUCAUUUAGAGGAAGUAAAANUCGUANCA
This 328-nucleotide ribosomal RNA is filed under the name uncultured eukaryote. RNAcentral's name for it is "partial 18S ribosomal RNA". It matches the Rfam family "Eukaryotic small subunit ribosomal RNA", at positions 1470 to 1796 of the family's 1831-position model. The record is from RNAcentral.